RNAcentral lists this ribosomal RNA (253 nucleotides) under uncultured bacterium. Its description in RNAcentral is "partial 16S ribosomal RNA". It matches the Rfam family "Bacterial small subunit ribosomal RNA", at positions 524 to 776 of the family's 1533-position model. The record is from RNAcentral.
UACGGGGGGGGCAAGCGUUGUUCGGAGUUACUGGGCGUAAAGGGCUCGUAGGCGGCCAACUAAGUCAGACGUGAAAUCCCUCGGCUUAACCGGGGAACUGCGUCUGAUACUGGAUGGCUUGAGAUUGGGAGAGGGAUGCGGAAUUCCAGGUGUAGCGGUGAAAUGCGUAGAUAUUGGGAGGAACACCAGUGGCGAAGGCGGCUCACUGGACCGGUACUGACGCUGAGGCGCGAAAGCGUGGGGAGCAAACAGG